RNAcentral lists this ribosomal RNA (429 nucleotides) under Pseudomonadota bacterium. RNAcentral describes it as "Proteobacteria bacterium partial 16S ribosomal RNA". It matches the Rfam family "Bacterial small subunit ribosomal RNA", at positions 355 to 776 of the family's 1533-position model. Lineage: Bacteria; Pseudomonadati; Pseudomonadota. The record is from RNAcentral.
UGGGGAAUAUUGGACAAUGGGCGAAAGCCUGAUCCAGCCAUGCCGCGUGUGUGAAGAAGGUCUUCGGAUUGUAAAGCACUUUAAGUUGGGAGGAAGGGCAGUAAGCGAAUACCUUGCUGUUUUGACGUUACCGACAGAAUAAGCACCGGCUAACUCUGUGCCAGCAGCCGCGGUAAUACAGAGGGUGCAAGCGUUAAUCGGAAUUACUGGGCGUAAAGCGCGCGUAGGUGGUUCGUUAAGUUGAAUGUGAAAGCCCCGGGCUCAACCUGGGAACUGCAUCCAAGACUGGCGAGCUAGAGUAGGGCAGAGGGUGGUGGAAUUUCCUGUGUAGCGGUGAAAUGCGUAGAUAUAGGAAGGAACACCAGUGGCGAAGGCGACCACCUGGGCUCAUACUGACACUGAGGUGCGAAAGCGUGGGGAGCAAACAGG